RNAcentral lists this ribosomal RNA (491 nucleotides) under uncultured bacterium. RNAcentral describes it as "partial 16S ribosomal RNA". It matches the Rfam family "Bacterial small subunit ribosomal RNA", at positions 29 to 507 of the family's 1533-position model. The record is from RNAcentral.
GUGAACGCUGGCGGUAGGCCUAACACCUUCAAGUCGAACGGCAGCACAGUAAGAGCUUGCUCUUACGGGUGGCGAGUGGCGGACGGGUUAGGAAUACAUCGGCAUCUACUUUUUCGUGGGGGAUAACGUAGGGAAACUAACGCUAAUACCGCAUACGACCUACGGGUGAAAGCAGGGGAUCUUCGGACCUUGCGCGAUUGAAUGAGCCGCUGUCGGAUUAGCUAGUUGGCGGGGUAAAGGCCCACCAAGGCGACGAUCCGUAGCUGGUCUGAGAGGAUGAUCCGCCACACUGGAACUGAGACACGGUCCAGACUCCUACGGGAGGCAGCAGUGGGGAAUAUUGGGCAAUGGGCGCAAGCCUGAUCCAGCCAUACCGCGUGGGUGAUGAAGGCCUUCGGGUUGUAAAGCCCUUUUGUUGGGAAAGAAAAGCUGCAGGUUAAUCCCCCGCUGUUCUGACGGUACCCAAAGAAUAAGCACCGGCUAACUUCGUG